AGUCGAGCGGACGAAAGGAAGCUUGCUCCCGGUAUGUUAGCGGCGGACGGGUGAGUAGCACGUGGGUAACCUGGCUGUAGGACUGGGAUAACUCCGGGAAACCGGAGCUAAUACCGGAUAGUUCCUUGAACCGCAGGGUUCUCGGAUGAACUACGGUUUCCGCUGUCACUUACGUAUGGACCCCCGGCGCAUUAGCUAAUUGGUGGGGUAAUGGCUCACCCAGGCGACGAUGCAUAGCCGACCUGAGAGGGUGAUCGGCCACACUGGGACUGAGACACGGCCCAAACUCCUACGGGAGGCAGCAGUAGGGAAUCUUCCGCAAUGGACCAAAGUCUGACCGAGCAACACCACGGGAGUGAUAAAGGUUUUCGGAUCGUAAAGCUCUGUUGUUAGGGAAGAACAAGUGCUAGAGUAACUGCUCGCACCUUGACGGUACCUAACCAUAAAGCCACGGCUAACUACGUGCCAACACCCGCGGUAAUACCUAUGUGGCAAGCUUUGGCCGGAAUUAUUGGGCGUAAAGGGCUCGCAAGCGGUUUCUUAAAUCUGAUGUGAAAGCCCCCGGCUCAACCGGGGAGGGUCAUUGGAAACUGGGAAACUAGAGUGCAGAAAAUGACAGUGGAAUUCCACGUGGAGCGGUGAUAUGCGUAAACAUGUGUAGGAACACCAGUGGCGAAGGCUACUCUCUGGUCUGUAACUGACGCUGAUGAGCGAAAGCGUGGGGAGCGAACAGGAUUAGAUACCCUGGUAGUACACGCCGUAAACGAUGAGUGCUAAGUGUUAGGGUGUUUCCGCUCUUUAGUGCUGCAGCUAAGGCAUUAAUCACUCGGCUUGGGGAGUACGGUCGCAAGACUGAAACUCAAAGGCAAUUGACGGGGGCCCGACCCAAGUCGGUGUGAGUCAUGUGGCUUUAAUUGGAAGCAACGCGAAGCACUCCUUAUCCAGCUCUUGACAUCAUAGGACGAUCCCUAGAGAUAGGGCUUUCCUUUCGGGGAUAGAGUGCCAGGUGGUGCAUGGUUGUGUUCAGUUGGUUUCGUGAGAUGUUGGGUUAAUUCCCGCAACGAGCCCAACCCUUGAUUUUAGUUGCCACCAUUUAAGUGGGCCAUUUAAGGUGGCUGCCGGUGGCCAACCGGAGGAAGGUGGGGAAGACGUCAAAUUCUCCUGCCCCUUAUGACCUGGGGUACCCCCGUGGUACAAAGGACAGAACAAAGGGGUGCACGACCGCAAGGGUUAACCAAUUCCAUAAAUCUGUUUUCAGUUCGGAUUGCCGUUUGCAAAUUGGAUGCGUGAAGCUGGAAUCGGUAGUAAUCGCGGAUCAGCAUGCCGCGGUGAAUACGUUUCCGGGCCUUUACCCCCCCCCCGUCACACCCAGAGAAUUUGCAACACCCGAAGUCGGUGAGGUAACCCUUAUGAGC
This 1415-nucleotide ribosomal RNA is filed under the name Bacillus pumilus. RNAcentral describes it as "bacterial SSU rRNA". It matches the Rfam family "Bacterial small subunit ribosomal RNA". The record is from RNAcentral. Lineage: Bacteria; Bacillati; Bacillota; Bacilli; Caryophanales; Bacillaceae.